CACGUAGGCGGCUUUCUAAGUCGGGGGUGAAAUCCUGGAGCUCAACUCCAGAACUGCCUUCGAUACUGGAAAGCUCGAGUCCGGGAGAGGUGAGUGGAACUGCGAGUGUAGAGGUGAAAUUCGUAGAUAUUCGCAAGAACACCAGUGGCGAAGGCGGCUCACUGGCCCGGUACUGACGCUGAGGUGCGAAAGCGUGGGGAGCAAACA
This 207-nucleotide ribosomal RNA is filed under the name uncultured bacterium. RNAcentral's name for it is "partial 16S ribosomal RNA". It matches the Rfam family "Bacterial small subunit ribosomal RNA", at positions 568 to 774 of the family's 1533-position model. The record is from RNAcentral.